AGUGAACGCUGGCGGCGUGCCUAAUACAUGCAAGUCGAGCGAGCGGCGGACGGGUGAGUAAUGCCUGGGAACUGCCUGGUAGUGGGGGAUAACGUCCGGAAACGGGCGCUAAUACCGCAUACGAUUGGAUUGCCCAGGUGGGAUUAGCUAGUUGGUGAGGUAAUGGCUCACCAAGGCGACGAUCCCUAGCUGGUCUGAGAGGGUGAUCAGGCACACUGGAACUGAGACACGGUCCAGACGCGUACGGGAGGCAGCAGGGGGGAAUAUUGUACAGUGGGGGAAACCCUGAUGAAGAAGCGCCGCGUGCGGGAUGACGGCCUUCGGGUUGUAAACCGCGUUCAGCCAUGACGCGGUAGUGGCAGAAGAAGCACCGGCUAACUACGUGCCAGCAGCCGCGGUAAUAC
Molecule: ribosomal RNA, 404 nt
Filed under: uncultured bacterium
Lineage: Bacteria
Description: partial 16S ribosomal RNA
Rfam family: Bacterial small subunit ribosomal RNA
Source: RNAcentral